This 301-nucleotide ribosomal RNA is filed under the name uncultured bacterium. Its description in RNAcentral is "partial 16S ribosomal RNA". It matches the Rfam family "Bacterial small subunit ribosomal RNA", at positions 509 to 809 of the family's 1533-position model. The record is from RNAcentral.
CAGUCGCCACGGUAAAACGUAGGUGGCAAGCGUUGUCCGGAAUUAUUGGGCGUAAAGGGCUCGCAGGCGGUUUCGCAAGUCUUGUGUGAAAUCUAUGGGCUCAACCCAUAGUCUGCACAGAAAACUGCGAGGCUUGAGGAUGGGAGAGGUGAGUGGAAUUUCCGGUGUAGCGGUGAAAUGCGUAGAUAUCGGAAGGAACACCUGUGGCGAAAGCGGCUCACUGGACCAUUUCUGACGCUGAUGCACGAAAGCUAGGGGAGCAAACAGGAUUAGAUACCCCAGUAGUCCCUGUCUCUUAUAA